RNAcentral lists this ribosomal RNA (610 nucleotides) under Rhabditida sp. 3021ed. Its description in RNAcentral is "eukaryotic LSU rRNA". It matches the Rfam family "Eukaryotic large subunit ribosomal RNA", at positions 391 to 847 of the family's 3401-position model. The record is from RNAcentral. Lineage: Eukaryota; Metazoa; Nematoda; Chromadorea; Rhabditida.
AAUAGUACGUGAAACCGAUUAGGCGGAAGCGUAUAGAGUUGUCGAAAGAUGAUAAUAAUAAGUAGUCUUGAAGUGUAACAGAGUUAAGAUAGUUUUCGUAAGAAUCUAUGCUUGGCUUGUAGUUUACUUAAAGGCUAUGCACUUGUUAUCAUUGUGCCAAUAGCAUUGAUGAUAAUAAUGGAAAUUAAAUUAGAGGGCUUAACUUCGGUUGAGUAUCCUGAUUUAAUGAAAAUUAUUUAUUGUUAAUGUUUUCAUUAGCAUAACAGAAGGUGUAUAAGUGAUGAUUCAUAAAAGUUAACGCAUGCGUUAGCUUUUUUAAGUUGUUACUUUAUAUGCUGGAUAAUAUGUUAGUUAUUAUUGGUAUAAAAGACAAUCACCUAUAUGUCCCGUCUUGAAACACGGACCAAGGAGUUUAUCGUAUGUGCGAGUCAUUGAGUGAAUAAAACUCAUUGGCGUUAUGAAAAGUAAAGUUAUCUUUAUGAUAAUGAUAUGUGAUAAGUUAUUUUCGGAUAGCUUAGCAGCAUAGUCCAAUCUAUUAUGUUUACAUAAGGGUUGAGAUAGAGCAUAUGCGAUGAGACCCGAAAGAUGGUGAACUAUGCCUGAACAGGAU